RNAcentral lists this ribosomal RNA (223 nucleotides) under uncultured bacterium. RNAcentral's name for it is "partial 16S ribosomal RNA". It matches the Rfam family "Bacterial small subunit ribosomal RNA", at positions 127 to 334 of the family's 1533-position model. The record is from RNAcentral.
UACCUCUAAGAUGGGGAUAACCUUCCGAAAGGAGGGCUAAUACCGAAUAAGACCACAGUUACUACGGUAAUCGAGGUUAAAGAUGGCCUCUACUUGUAAGCUAUCACUUAGAGAUGGGCUUAUGCACCAUUAGCCUGUUGGUAGGGUAAUGGCCUACCAAAGCUAUGAUGGUUAGCUGAUCUGAGAGGUUGAUCAGCCACACUGGAACUGAGACACGGUCCAG